Non-coding RNA from Myodes glareolus (Bank vole), 489 nucleotides. NCBI's taxonomy places the organism in Eukaryota, Metazoa, Chordata, Mammalia, Rodentia, Cricetidae. The record is from RefSeq and is a predicted model, not a curated record.
AUAUUAAUGUCUAUUCAGGUAGAAUUAAAAUCAUUGUUUUACUUCUUAAAAUUCUAAGCUAAAACCUUGAAGUUACAUUUAUCUUAGCUUCCAAAUGAAAAAAAGUAAUCAUUUUCAAAUCUCUACAGCCCUCCAAAUGCAUUUUUCUAAGUUUCAUGCAAGUAAAGAAAAGUCCGCGAUGCCUUUGCCAGCACAGCACUUCCUUGGUGUCUGAUUCUGACAAGCACUCUGCCCUGCAAUAACACCCUCUGAUCCCGACUGUGAAGUCAGCUUGGCCAGCAAACCUUGAAGGUUGGCACAGUAGACUACCAAAGCUUCCGGUGACUUGUGUUCAUGCACUAGGACAAUAGAAUCAGACUGAUUUGCUUAGGCACGAAGGAAUGCACAUGUAAUUCAGGUUUUCAUCUGUGAUUGUCUCAAAGGUUGGAAAUCACAUUGGAAUUAUAGGAAACUAUCAAAAAUAGAAACAACCUAACUACAAACAUAAAA